GGUUGACCUCGGAUCAAGUAGGGAUA
RNAcentral lists this ribosomal RNA (26 nucleotides) under Microcyclospora pomicola. RNAcentral describes it as "partial 28S ribosomal RNA". Lineage: Eukaryota; Fungi; Ascomycota; Dothideomycetes; Capnodiales. The record is from RNAcentral. RNAcentral also lists the same sequence under 3 other names.